UGAAUGAAUUUGAAUCUGAAAAUUGGUCAACUAUCUCAUGCUAGAUAGUCAUGUGAACUGUUGGUUUCUGUUUGAAGUGAAAAAAAAAAAAAAAAUUUCGGGUGAAGUAAUCAUAAUCGAAAUCGAUUAGAUUCGGAUUCAUACAAUUCUAAUAGGUCUCAUGUUGAUCAGAAAAUUCAUAAUAAGCCCAUUCAUAAAUGUGAAUUAAUAGGCGUCAUAAAAGUCCUUUAAAAUUUUAAACCUAUACAAUAAUUCGGGCCUCAUCUCAGCCCAAUGAAUAUUUGUGCCCAAGAAGUUUCAUCAAAAUGGGCCCAAUUUCAGCCCAAUUCAUGAGAUCACGGCCCAUAUUUUCACCCACGUUUGAAAAUUCAAUUUCGAAUAUCAUAUUCAAAUUCAAUUUUAAAUUUUUAAACUCCCAACCAACUAGAAAAUAUUUGUUAUUCUAACAACCCUAUUCGAAAUUCGAUUUUAAAUUUCGAACAAACCCCCAAAAUAUUUUCCAACCAACCACAACAACACCUUCAAAAUUCGAUUUCGAAUUUCGAAUUCCCAACCAACCCCAAAAUAUCCUCCAACUAUCCAACAACCGAUUCAAAAUUCGAUUUUGAAUUUCGAAUCCCCAACAAAUUUCCAAAAUAUCCUCCAACCAUAUAACAACUGAUUCAAAAUUCGAUUUCGAAUUUUGAAUUCUCAACCAACCCUCAAAAUAUCUUCCAACCAACCACAACAACCCAUUCAAAAUUCGAUUUCGAAUUCCGAAUUCCCAACCAACCCUGAAAUAUCUUUCAACCAACCACAACAACCUAUUCAAAAUUCAAAUUCGAAUUUCGAAUCUUUAACUGACUCCUCAAAAUAUCUCUUGCCACCCUUCCCAUUAUAAAUAGGAGAAUCGAAAUCAAACGUCGGACGAUAGACGGAGGAGAGAAAAAAAGAUAUAGAAAAAGACGACAGAGAGAUUACGAUAAAAAAAAGGGAGAGAUAAUAAUAUU
Molecule: long non-coding RNA, 989 nt
Filed under: Ananas comosus (pineapple)
Lineage: Eukaryota; Viridiplantae; Streptophyta; Magnoliopsida; Poales; Bromeliaceae
Description: long non-coding RNA (ACOM_LNC008860)
Source: RNAcentral